GAUGAACGCUGGCGGCGUGCCUAAUACAUGCAAGUCGAGCGAACGGACGAGAAGCUUGCUUCUCUGAUGUUAGCGGCGGACGGGUGAGUAACACGUGGAUAACCUACCUAUAAGACUGGGAUAACUUCGUGAAACCGUAGCUAAUACCGGAUAAUAUUUUGAACCGCAUGGUUCAAAAGUGAAAGACGGUCUUGCUGUCACUUAUAGAUGGAUCCGCGCUGCAUUAGCUAGUUGGUAAGGUAACGGCUUACCAAGGCAACGAUGCAUAGCCGACCUGAGAGGGUGAUAGGCCACACUGGAACUGAGACACGGUCCAGACGCCUACGGGAGGCAGCAGUAGGGAAUCUUCCGCAAUGGGCGAAAGCCUGACGGAGCAACGCCGCGUGAGUGAUGAAGGUCUUCGGAUCGUAAAACUCUGUUAUUAGGGAAGAACAUAUGUGUAAGUAACUGUGCACAUCUUGACGGUACCUAAUCAGAAAGCCACGGCUAACUACGUG
RNAcentral lists this ribosomal RNA (497 nucleotides) under uncultured bacterium. Its description in RNAcentral is "partial 16S ribosomal RNA". It matches the Rfam family "Bacterial small subunit ribosomal RNA", at positions 28 to 507 of the family's 1533-position model. The record is from RNAcentral.